AAAAGCAUGUUGUUCACUAAUUUAAUUUCUCUGCAUGGUUUAUAUCUUUAUUAUUAAAGGGUCUUUGAAUGACAGACAUAUUACAAGUGGGAGUGAACUGUAUGCCAUAUUUACACCAAGGGAAAAUUUAACAGAGUUACCACCGGCACAAAGACAGGCCAACAUCGGAAAUGAAGGACCAAGUGUCAUCCGCUGUCACAUAGCGUUACAGGGAGACUUUGAAAUCAAAGUCAACCUCGAAAGUGAUACACUGAGAGAUGUGACACUACGGCUUUCUCUCGAAAGUAGUAUACCAGCACCAGUUCUUCACAUCAGAGGUGAAGAGUAUAAUCAUGUUGACAAACUAAGUGAGCUUGGAAUCACAGAUGAUUCAGUUCUACAGUUCUCUCUGUCAUCGUUUGAUAAUGAGAAACCAAGUCCAAGUCUUUUGUUCCAAAAAGAUGUCAGACCCUCAGUGAAGCAAACAGAGAAAGGCCUAAGUGUUUUUCUGUCAACGCUCUAUGCCAUUAAACGUAAACACUGUGGAGACGAAUUUAAGAAAGUGGUUGCAUACAUUAGGAGACUGAGUGGAUGCAAUGCUUUGGCUCAAAGUUUAUUCCAAAUGAUCUGUGGGAACUUGCAUGUAACAAGAAACCAAAAGGUAGGUUAUUGUAUAAUAUAA
Molecule: long non-coding RNA, 661 nt
Filed under: Sinocyclocheilus grahami
Lineage: Eukaryota; Metazoa; Chordata; Actinopteri; Cypriniformes; Cyprinidae
Description: lncRNA (ENSSGRG00000000657.1)
Source: RNAcentral